CCUACGGGAGGCAGCAGUGGGGAAUAUUGGGCAAUGGAGGCAACUCUUACCCAGCAAUGCCGCGUGAAUGAAGAAGGUCUUCGGAUUGUAAAGCCCUUUAAUCGGGGACGAAAAAAAUGACGGUACGCAAGGAAUACGCCUCGGCUAACAACGUGCGAGCAGCCGCGGUAAUACGUAGGGGGCAAGCGUUGUUCGGAAUGACUGGGCGUAAGGGGUGUGUAGGCGGUGUAGCAAGUUAGAAGUGAAAUACCUAGAGCUUAACUCAGGUGCUGCUUCUAAAACUGCUAUACUUGAGUGCAGUAGAGGACAGUGGAAUUCCUGGGGUAGCGGUGGAAUGCGGAGAUAUUAGGAGGAACAUCAGUGGCGAAGGCGACUUUCUGGACUGUAACUGACGCUGAGGCACGAAAGUGUGGGGAGCAAACCGGAUUAGAUACCCUAGUAGUC
This 444-nucleotide ribosomal RNA is filed under the name uncultured bacterium. RNAcentral's name for it is "partial 16S ribosomal RNA". It matches the Rfam family "Bacterial small subunit ribosomal RNA", at positions 338 to 795 of the family's 1533-position model. The record is from RNAcentral.